ACUCCUACGGGAGGCAGCAGUGGGAAUAUUGGACAAUGGGGGCAACCCUGAUCCAGCAAUGCCGCGUGUGUGAAGAAGGCCUGAGGGUUGUAAAGCACUUUCAGUAGUGAGGAAAGGUUCUUGUUUAAGAGAUGAGAGCUGUGACGUUAGCUACAAAAGCAGCACCGGCUAACUCCGUGCCAGCAGCCGCGGUAAUACGGAGGGGGCUAGCGUUGUUCGGAAUUACUGGGCGUAAAGAGCGCGUAGGCGGAAUGGUAAGUUGGGAGUGAAAGCCCGGGGCUCAACCUCGGAAUUGCUCCCAAAACUGCCACUCUAGAGUAUGGUAGGGGUGAUGGAAUUCCUAGUGUAGAGGUGAAAUUCUUAGAUAUUAGGAGGAACACCGGUGGCGAAGGCGGUCACCUGGGCCAUAACUGACGCUGAUGCGCGAAAGCGUGGGGAGCAAACAGGAUUAGAUACCCUGGUAGGUCAGU
RNAcentral lists this ribosomal RNA (470 nucleotides) under uncultured bacterium. Its description in RNAcentral is "bacterial SSU rRNA". It matches the Rfam family "Bacterial small subunit ribosomal RNA", at positions 335 to 798 of the family's 1533-position model. The record is from RNAcentral.